GAAAUGCGAUACGUAAUGUGAAUUGCAGAAUUCAGUGAAUCAUCGAAUCUUUGAACGCACCUUGCGCCCCUUGGCAUUCCGAGGGGCACACCCGUUUGAGUGUCGUGAAAUCAUCAAAAACCCUUUUUUCGCUUUGCUGAAAAGGAUUUUUGGACUUGGAGGUUCAAUGCUCGCCUUUCACUUUUGAAAGCGAGCUCCUCUCAAAUAUAUUAGUGGGGUCCGCUUUGCUGAUCCUUGACGUGAUAAGAUGUUUCUACGUUUUGGAUUUAGCACUGUCCCUUUGGACGCCUGCUCCUAACCGUCUUAAGGACAACGGUGGUGCUCCGGCCGUAAGGCUGGACCCACAAAAGAAAACCUUGACCUCAAAUCGGGUGAGACUACCCGCUGAACUUAA
RNAcentral lists this ribosomal RNA (394 nucleotides) under Russula sp. 321-88. RNAcentral's name for it is "eukaryotic LSU rRNA". The stretch from base 1 to 105 matches the Rfam family "5.8S ribosomal RNA", at positions 50 to 154 of the family's 154-position model. The record is from RNAcentral. Lineage: Eukaryota; Fungi; Basidiomycota; Agaricomycetes; Russulales; Russulaceae.